CGCAAGACUGAUCCAGCCAUGCCGCGUGCAGGAAGACUGCCCUAUGGGUUGUAAACUGCUUUUGUACAAGAAGAAUAAGAGGUACGUGUACCUUGAUGACGGUGAUUGUACGAAUAAGCAUCGGCUAACUCCGUGCCAGCAGCGGCGGUAAUACGGAGGAUGCAAGCGUUAUCCGGAAUCAUUGGGUUUAAAGGGNCCGUAGGCGGGCUGUUAAGUCAGGGGUGAAAGUUUGCCGCUUAACGGGAAAAUUGCCUUUGAUACUGGCGGGCUUGAAUGUGUGUGAAGUGAUUAGAAUAUGUAGUGUAGCGGUGAAAUGCAUAGAUAUUACAUAGAAUACCGAUUGCGAAGGCAGGUCACUAACACAUUAUUGACGCUGAUGGACGAAAGCGUGGGUAGCGAACAGGAUUAGAUACCCUGGUAGUCCACGCCGUAAACGAUGGAUACUAGCUGUUGGGCUGUACGUCUCACUGGCUAAGCGAAAGUGAUAAGGAUCCACCUGGGGAGUACGUUCCAAGAAUGAAACUCA
RNAcentral lists this ribosomal RNA (526 nucleotides) under uncultured Cytophaga sp. Its description in RNAcentral is "bacterial SSU rRNA". It matches the Rfam family "Bacterial small subunit ribosomal RNA", at positions 376 to 903 of the family's 1533-position model. The record is from RNAcentral. Lineage: Bacteria; Pseudomonadati; Bacteroidota; Cytophagia; Cytophagales; Cytophagaceae.